AACGAACGCUGGCGGCAUGCCUAACACAUGCAAGUCGAACGCUACCGCCGGGCCUUGUGGCGCUGGGGGGGGUGACGCGUGGGAAGCUACCCGUGAGUUCGGUAUCUCCCCCCGUGGGGGGUGGUCAUGCCGGGGAAGCUCUUCCUACCUAUGCUUUGUCGUCCUUGUGUGGGCCUGCGUUGGGUGUGCUAGUGGUGAGGGUAAAAGCCUACCAAGGCGAGGUUGCUUAGCUGGUCAGAGAGGAUGAGCGGCCACACUGGGACUGAGACACGGCCCAGACUCCUACGGGAGGCAGCAGUGGGGGAUAGUGGACAAUGGGCGCAAGGCGGAUCCAGCAAUGCCGCGUGAGUGAUGAAGGUCUUAGGGUUGUAAAGCAGUUUUACCCGUGGUGAUAAUGACAGUACCGGGAGAAUAAGCGCCGGCUAACUCCGUG
This 433-nucleotide ribosomal RNA is filed under the name uncultured bacterium. RNAcentral describes it as "partial 16S ribosomal RNA". It matches the Rfam family "Bacterial small subunit ribosomal RNA", at positions 28 to 507 of the family's 1533-position model. The record is from RNAcentral.